GCCUGUGUAGCUCAGUCGGUAGAGCACGUCCUUGGUAAGGACGAGGUCAGCGGUUCAAUCCCGCUCGCAGGCUCCA
Molecule: transfer RNA, 76 nt
Filed under: Bacteroidales bacterium
Lineage: Bacteria; Pseudomonadati; Bacteroidota; Bacteroidia; Bacteroidales
Also listed under: 1 other name
Description: tRNA-Thr
Rfam family: tRNA
About the family: Transfer RNA (tRNA) molecules are approximately 80 nucleotides in length. Their secondary structure includes four short double-helical elements and three loops (D, anti-codon, and T loops).
Source: RNAcentral